Molecule: ribosomal RNA, 305 nt
Filed under: uncultured bacterium
Lineage: Bacteria
Description: bacterial SSU rRNA
Rfam family: Bacterial small subunit ribosomal RNA
Source: RNAcentral
CCUUCCUACGGGGCGCAGCAGUGGGGAAUAUUGCACAAUGGGGGAAACCCUGAUGCAGCGACGCCGCGUGAAGGAAGAAGUAUUUCGGUAUGUAAACUUCUAUCAGCAGGGAAGAAAAUGACGGUACCUGACUAAGAAGACCCGGCUAACUACGUGCCAGCAGCCGCGGUAAUACGUAGGGGGCAAGCGUUAUCCGGAUUUACUGGGUGUAAAGGGAGCGUAGGCGGUGCGGCAAGUCAGAAGUGAAAGCACGGGGCUCAACUACGGGACUGCUUUUGAAACUGUUGAACUAGAUUGCAGGGGAG